Molecule: unclassified non-coding RNA, 541 nt
Filed under: Hevea brasiliensis (rubber tree)
Lineage: Eukaryota; Viridiplantae; Streptophyta; Magnoliopsida; Malpighiales; Euphorbiaceae
Source: RNAcentral
UAGACUCAAUCAUGUCUUACAAGAACGUGCCUCAUUCAAUAAUAGUAACAUCCAUCAGCCAUUUGGCCAACAAAAAAUUACAAGCAAUUGCUCAAAAGAAGAAAAAAUACAUCCUAUAAACCAUACAUUUCUACUCCUUUCUUAACCUUAUAGCAGUAUAUAAGUAUAGAUGCUCCAUUCCCCAUUUAUAACAUCGUUCGAGGGGAAUAAGCAACGAUGAAUUGAUCCGUUAUUCAACCGAAAGAUUUCCAUUAUAGCACGCGAAUUGCAACCAGUCAGGAACUAGAUGCAGUGCUUUGAGCUAAAAUCUUUAUCAGACAACAAACUAGAAAUAAGACUUUUCAUUCUCUGUGCACCUGGUCCAGGUCUCAGUGAAGUUAUGUUUCUUAGAAUGUACUGUGAGAUUGUAGCGUUGGAAUCCCCGCCAUCAAACCAACUACCAGGAACAAAACCAUCGACUUUGCGCCCCAAGAGCUCAGAAUCAAUCUUGUCAAGCACUGGUUCAUUCCUGCGGAAUUUUCUGGCGAAUGAUGCAUUGCUG